This 818-nucleotide ribosomal RNA is filed under the name uncultured archaeon. Its description in RNAcentral is "bacterial SSU rRNA". It matches the Rfam family "Archaeal small subunit ribosomal RNA", at positions 1 to 825 of the family's 1478-position model. The record is from RNAcentral.
UUCCGGUUGAUCCUGCCGGAGGUUACUGCUAUCGAGGUUCGACUAAGCCAUGCGAGUCGAAUGUAGCAAUACAUGGCGAACUGCUCAGUAACACGUGGACAACCUGCCCUUAGGUUGGGUAUAAACCCGGGAAACUGGGUAUAAUACCCGAUAGGUCUCGAUUGCUGGAAUGCAUCGAGAUUUAAAGCUCCGGCGCCUAAGGAUGGGUCUGCGGCCUAUCAGGUAGUAGUGGGUGUAGCGUACCUACUAGCCUACGACGGGUACGGGUUGUGAGAGCAAGAGCCCGGAGAUGGAUUCUGAGACACGAAUCCAGGCCCUACGGGGUGCAGCAGGCGCGAAAACUUUACAAUGCUGGCAACAGCGAUAAGGGAACCUCGAGUGCCAGGUUACAAAUCUGGCUGUCGAGAUGCCUAAAAAGCAUUUCAUAGCAAGGGCCGGGCAAGACCGGUGCCAGCCGCCGCGGUAACACCGGCGGCUCGAGUGGUAACCGUUAUUAUUGGGUCUAAAGGGUCUGUAGCCGGCCGGAUAAGUCUCUUGAGAAAUCUGGCAGCUUAACUGUCAGGCUUUCAGGAGAUACUGUCUGGCUCGAGGCCGGGAGAGGUGAGAGGUACUUCAGGGGUAGGGGUGAAAUCUUGUAAUCCUUGAAGGACCACCAGUGGCGAAGGCGUCUCACCAGAACGGACCUGACGGCAAGGGACGAAAGCUAGGGGCACGAACCGGAUUAGAUACCCGGGUAGUCCUAGCCGUAAACGAUACUCGCUAGGUGUCGGCCACGGUGCGACCGUUGUCGGUGCCGUAGGGAAGCCGUGAAGCGAGCC